AGUCGCAACAGAAUUAGGUCUGCUGCUGGGAACUGGCUGUUUGACAUCAACCUUUGCCAUGGAUUAAAUAAAAAUACAGAUGCUCCAGACGGAGGCUGCCAAAACGCCACCGUAAGUACAUUUAGAUUUUUGUCAUAAAAUAGCAACGAACUUAAAAUAAACUAUAAUGUACAGUAUAUUUGGUUAAUAGGGUAAGGCUCUGAUCCAUACUUUUGUAUCUCAAAGGUUUGUCAGUAUUUAGAUUUAAAUAAGGACAAAACAUUUGAAAUUGGGCAGUUUGGAAAUGUUAUGUUUGGCCAAUACGACAACGACACAAAGUCCAUUACUUUGCAGUACUAUGGAAUUCUUCAGGAGAAUACAACAAG
Molecule: non-coding RNA, 365 nt
Organism: Paramuricea clavata
Lineage: Eukaryota; Metazoa; Cnidaria; Anthozoa; Malacalcyonacea; Plexauridae
Source: the annotation of a GenBank genome assembly